GGAUUAGAUACCCUGGUAGUCCAUGCCGUAAACGUUGGGAACUAGAUGUGGGGACCAUUCCACGGUCUCCGUGUCGUAGCUAACGCAUUAAGUUCCCCGCCUGGGGAGUACGGCCGCAAGGCUAAAACUCAAAGGAAUUGACGGGGGCCCGCACAAGCGGCGGAGCAUGCGGAUUAAUUCGAUGCAACGCGAAGAACCUUACCAAGGCUUGACAUAUAGGAGAACGCACUGGAGACAGUGAACUCUUUGGACACUCCUAUACAGGUGGUGCAUGGUUGUCGUCAGCUCGUGCCG
RNAcentral lists this ribosomal RNA (294 nucleotides) under uncultured bacterium. RNAcentral's name for it is "partial 16S ribosomal RNA". It matches the Rfam family "Bacterial small subunit ribosomal RNA", at positions 775 to 1067 of the family's 1533-position model. The record is from RNAcentral.